RNAcentral lists this ribosomal RNA (380 nucleotides) under uncultured eukaryote. RNAcentral describes it as "partial 18S ribosomal RNA". It matches the Rfam family "Eukaryotic small subunit ribosomal RNA", at positions 592 to 976 of the family's 1831-position model. The record is from RNAcentral.
CAAUAGCGUAUAUUAAAGUUGUUGCGGUUAAAAAGCUCGUAGUUGGAUUUCUGCUGAGAACGACCGGUCCGCCCUCUGGGUGUGUAUCUGGCUCUUUCUUGGCAUCUUCUUGGUGAACGUUGCUGCACUUGACUGUGUGGAGCGCUACCCAGGACUUUUACUUUGAGGAAAUUAGAGUGUUUCAAGCAGGCAUACGCCUUGAAUACAUUAGCAUGGAAUGAUAAGAUAGGACCUCGGUUCUAUUUUGUUGGUUUCUAGAGCUGAGGUAAUGAUUAAUAGGGAUAGUUGGGGGCACCUGUAUUGCGUUGUCAGAGGUGAAAUUCUUGGAUUUACGCAAGACAAACAGCUGCGAAAGCGUCUGCCAAGGAUGUUUUCAUUAA